Molecule: non-coding RNA, 119 nt
Organism: Ricinus communis (castor bean)
Lineage: Eukaryota; Viridiplantae; Streptophyta; Magnoliopsida; Malpighiales; Euphorbiaceae
Source: Rfam
GGGUGCGAUCAUACCAGCACUAAUGCAGCGGAUCCCAUCAGAACUCCGAAGUUAAACGUGCUUGGGCGAGAGUAGUACUAAGAUGGGUGACCUCUUGGGAAGUCCUCGUGUUGCACCCC